RNAcentral lists this long non-coding RNA (894 nucleotides) under Fukomys damarensis (Damara mole-rat). Its description in RNAcentral is "lncRNA (ENSFDAG00000025675.1)". Lineage: Eukaryota; Metazoa; Chordata; Mammalia; Rodentia; Bathyergidae. The record is from RNAcentral.
CCUGGAGUCUUCAGGGUCCAGCUGAGCUCACAAGAAGCUGGGGUGCUAUAGGAAAACCAGUGUAGCAGUUACUCUUGACAACUAGGGGUCACUGGAUGCCACUUCUGGGAUUCUUCACUAACAUCACUGGCUGUUUGGUCCCUCUUGACACCUCCUCUUUCCUUCCCCACCACGCAACCACAGCAAGACCUAGGAAGUGAAGUUUAAGAUAUACUUCCCUUUUUGACUGCCACCAUCUCCAUCUCAGUGGUUCUCAGUUCUGAGUCCACAUUACAUCACCAGGAGAACAUCUGAACGAUUCUCCCCCAUGGUCAUGUUCCCUGGCAACACUCUCCAGCCUCACCCUUGGUCCCUUUCCUGUACUCCACAGCACUGACCUUUGUGUCCCUCUUAUGGUUUGGAUGUGGUGCAGGGGUGUCCCCUAAAGGUUCCUCUGCUGAAGGUUUGGUCCCUGGUGUGAUGCUGCUGGGAGCUGGUGAUACCCCUAAGAGGUGAGGCCAGAGGGUGAUCAGGUCAGUGGGCUGCCACUGUCAGAAGACUAAUGCUGGUCUCAGGCACUGAGUUCCUUUCUCACAAUAGUGAACUGCUAUCCAAGAACAAUCCUUGCCCCUGGAUCCCUCUCUGGCUUGUGGUCUCACAGUGUGCUCUCCUUCUCUCACGUAUUCCUACCAUCAUGCCAUCUGCCAUAUUGUGAUACAGCCCCAGAAGGUGACUGGGCAGUGGAGUCACUUACAGCAGAACUCAGCUGGGAGUUUCCCCUGGUCUUCUGGUGUCAGGGUACUGAAUCUAUCUCCAACCUUCCCAAAACUGGUCAAUUUACAGCUAGAGAAUCAUGACUUCCUCCCUGCUACCCCAUUAAAAAAAAAAAAGCAGAAAGCAAGCUGGACAUCAAAG